UAUUCUUUUUAUUUUCUUUAUUUAAGUGCGGUUAUGUAAGCACAGAGGGGAAUCCUACUGAACAGCUGCCAUGACGCAACUUGAGCACGGUGGACAUCGGAGAUGGAGACAGAUUCUUCAAUAUAUAUAUUGUAUUUGAAA
This is a long non-coding RNA of Xiphophorus hellerii (green swordtail), 141 nucleotides long. RefSeq lists it as uncharacterized. Lineage: Eukaryota; Metazoa; Chordata; Actinopteri; Cyprinodontiformes; Poeciliidae. The record is from RefSeq and is a predicted model, not a curated record. The transcript has 3 exons.